GGUAACUCCGGGCCAGCGUGCGCGGUGAUACGGGGGUGGUAGUGGGUAUCCGGAUUUAUGGGGUUUAAAGGGUCCGUUGGCGGGCUUGUAAGUCAGUGGUGAAAUCUCACAGCUUAACUGUGAAACUGCCAUUGAUACUGCAGGUCUUGAGUAAGGUAGAAGUAGCUGGAAUAAGUAGUGUAGCGGUGAAAUGCAUAGAUAUUACUUAGAACACCAAUUGCGAAGGCAGGUUACUAUGUCUUAACUGACGCUGAUGGACGAAAGCGUGGGGAGCGAACAGGAUUAGAUACCCUAGUAGUC
RNAcentral lists this ribosomal RNA (300 nucleotides) under uncultured Bacillus sp. RNAcentral's name for it is "bacterial SSU rRNA". It matches the Rfam family "Bacterial small subunit ribosomal RNA", at positions 496 to 795 of the family's 1533-position model. Lineage: Bacteria; Bacillati; Bacillota; Bacilli; Caryophanales; Bacillaceae. The record is from RNAcentral.